Molecule: ribosomal RNA, 491 nt
Filed under: uncultured bacterium
Lineage: Bacteria
Description: partial 16S ribosomal RNA
Rfam family: Bacterial small subunit ribosomal RNA
Source: RNAcentral
AGUGAACGCUGGCGGUAGGCCUAACACAUGCAAGUCGAACGGCAGCACAGUAAGAGCUUGCUCUUACGGGUGGCGAGUGGCGGACGGGUGAGGAAUACAUCGGAAUCUACUUUUUCGUGGGGGAUAACGUAGGGAAACUUACGCUAAUACCGCAUACGACCUACGGGUGAAAGCAGGGGAUCUUCGGACCUUGCGCGAUUGAAUGAGCCGAUGUCGGAUUAGCUAGUUGGCGGGGUAAAGGCUCACCAAGGCGACGAUCCGUAGCUGGUCUGAGAGGAUGAUCAGCCACACUGGAAAUGAGACACGGUCCAGACUCCUACGGGAGGCAGCAGUGGGGAAUAUUGGACAGUGGGCGCAAGCCUGAUCCAGCCAUACCGCGUGGGUGAAGAAGGCCUUCGGGUUGUAAAGCCCUUUUGUUGGGAAAGAAAAGCAGCAGGUUAAUACCCCGCUGUUCUGACGGUACCCAAAGAAUAAGCACCGGCUAACUUCGU